AUGGUUGUGUUUUUGGAAUUUUUGUUCACAUAACUGGGUUAGGGUUCAGUUAGUUUGAGAAUGACAGAGGAAAAUAAGUUUAAAGUUUGGAGUGGUGUGAUAAAAUUCGUAAGUUGAGAGUAUUAUCGACCAAAUGAUGAAAGUUUAAGUUAUUUAAAUCUAUUAUUCCUUAUUUCUAAUUACAUAAUCUUUAAACGUAAUUUAUUGUAUUUAUUUAUGCAAUAUUAAUAGGGUGUUAAUAAAGCCACAACCCAAAAUUUAUU
RNAcentral lists this long non-coding RNA (263 nucleotides) under Helianthus annuus (common sunflower). RNAcentral describes it as "hypothetical non coding rna". The record is from RNAcentral. Lineage: Eukaryota; Viridiplantae; Streptophyta; Magnoliopsida; Asterales; Asteraceae.